This 135-nucleotide ribosomal RNA is filed under the name uncultured bacterium. RNAcentral describes it as "partial 16S ribosomal RNA". It matches the Rfam family "Bacterial small subunit ribosomal RNA", at positions 356 to 504 of the family's 1533-position model. The record is from RNAcentral.
GGGGGAUAUUGCACAAUGGGGGAAACCCUGAUGCAGCGAUGCCGCCUGAGUGAAGACGGCCCUUUCGGGUUGUAAAGCUCUGUUCGCAGAGGACGAAAAUGACGGUACUCUGUAAGAAAGCUCCCGGCUAAAUAC